AUAUUUCCCCAGGUCAGUUUGCAUCAUUUGGUAUCAGAGCUACUAAAACGAGGAGAGUCGAUAUUUGUAUUAAGCCCGGAAGUAGGUUCGUAACGUAAAAAAACUUAAAAAAUUUCAAGUUGUAAUUUAAUUUUUUUCUUUGUAUUUCAGCAUAUUGUAAUUGAAGAGUAAAAAAAAGAAUUACGAAAAUUCAAAAAAAAGGAAAAAAUAAUACGAGUAUUAAAAAAAGAAGUGAAAGUCUUGCGAGUUUUAUUUUGUUGUCAUUUCUUGAUAUUCCCGAUCAUCUAUUCAUUCUACCAUUCUUUCUUCCCCCAAAACGCCACACAAACUUUGAUUUUAUUUUCUUUGUUUAGCCUAACCCACCCCAUUCAUUUUAUC
This 378-nucleotide long non-coding RNA is filed under the name Gossypium raimondii (Peruvian cotton). RNAcentral describes it as "long non-coding RNA (GRAI_LNC004528)". Lineage: Eukaryota; Viridiplantae; Streptophyta; Magnoliopsida; Malvales; Malvaceae. The record is from RNAcentral.